GUCUACAGUCAUACUGCCGUGAAUGCGUCCCAUCUCACGUGAUCUUGGAAAGUAAGCGGGGUUGGGCUGGGUUAGUACUUGGAUGGGAGAAAUAAACAGAAAGAAGGAUGUUCUACAGA
Molecule: ribosomal RNA, 119 nt
Filed under: Nannospalax galili (Upper Galilee mountains blind mole rat)
Lineage: Eukaryota; Metazoa; Chordata; Mammalia; Rodentia; Spalacidae
Source: RNAcentral